RNAcentral lists this ribosomal RNA (507 nucleotides) under uncultured bacterium. RNAcentral describes it as "bacterial SSU rRNA". It matches the Rfam family "Bacterial small subunit ribosomal RNA", at positions 29 to 507 of the family's 1533-position model. The record is from RNAcentral.
AAUGAACGCUGGCGGCGUGCUUAACACAUGCAAGUCGUACGAGAACGCUUCAGCUUGCUGAAGCUAGUAAAGUGGCGUACGGGUGAGUAACGCGUGGGUAAUCUACCUUCGAAUUGGGGAUAACGUUACGAAAGUGACGCUAAUACCGGAUAAUAUCAUAGGGACUUCGGUUCUUAUGAUCAAAGAUGGCCUCUCCUUGGAAGCUAUUGUUUGGAGAUGAGCCCGCGUCCCAUUAGCUUGUUGGUAGGGUAAUGGCCUACCAAGGCGACGAUGGGUAGCUGGUCUGAGAGGAUGAUCAGCCACACUGGAACUGACACACGGUCCAGACUCCUACGGGAGGCAGCAGUGAGGAAUUUUGCGCAAUGGGGGAAACCCUGACGCAGCAACGCCGCGUGAGUGAUGAAGGCUUUCGGGUCGUAAAGCUCUGUCAAGUGGGAAGAACUCCCAUGAGGUUAAUACCCUCAUGGUUUGACGGUACCACUGAAGGAAGCACCGGCUAACUCCGUG